Molecule: long non-coding RNA, 3620 nt
Filed under: Homo sapiens (human)
Lineage: Eukaryota; Metazoa; Chordata; Mammalia; Primates; Hominidae
Description: PREDICTED lncRNA (TCONS_00187144)
Source: RNAcentral
GGCAGGGUUGCAGGCAGGAGACAGUCUCCAGAGGCCCAGCAUAGAAAAGCGAUGGAGGGGUGAGGGGGGACAGGACGCUGGCGAAUUGGGGUUCCCAGAGUGAGAGACAGGAACAUUUACAGGUGGACAGAGUAAAAGGCCCUGAAAAGGGGGUGGGUUGGUGCAUUUGUGGCCUUGGGCCCAAGCAGGCUUCUCUGGGUGAGGGCUAGCAGCACCUCCCCUCUUCUCCAGCUCACCCCUUUCACACACACACACGCCCCCCAUUUUGUCACCCUGUCAAGGGAAUAAACCCCAGAGAGGAAGAAAUUAUGUCUAGGAGGAAACGGUGAGCCUGGAUGGGUUUUUUAGGGGGGAGGCUGGCAGGGGCAUGGAGCCAGGAAACAGCCUUCGCCCCCCAGAGCACCAGGUACCCUGAGAAAAGUGAGAAGAGAGAUUGCAGCCCAGGUCCCUGCAGAGGAGGAUGGGCUCCUUUCCCAGGAAGGACUGGCUGAGUGGACUGUCUCCAGGGCACAGGACAACGUUGAGGGCCUGAGGCCUCCACCUUCUUGAAGAAGGACCAUGUGAAUUUCCUGACAGAGAACGGGGAUGGGUUUCUGAAAGCACCACCCAGCUGAGCCUGCCGAAACUGCACAGCUGUUUCCAGGCCAGGCUGGCUGCAUGGAGGACGUGAGAGGAACAGCCAGCUGUGUGUGCUGGGCCCACUGAUCAGGGUGCUCAGGACCAGGAGCCUUCUGAGGAUGUGCAGAGGGGACUCUGGGGAGAGGAACAUGGUGGCCACAGCUGGAGUGACCGCAGUGUACAGAGAUGGGAUGGGAGCAGGAAACCCAAAAGAGCCGGCCCUGGAACCAGGUGGAGGGGAGGCAGCCCGGCCAUGACCCAGAGCAGGUGAUAUGAUUUGGAUCUGUGUUCCCACCCAAAUUUUAGGUUCAGUUUUAAUCCUCAGUGUUGGAGGUGGGUCCUGGUGGGAGGUGAUCAGAUCAUGGGAGUGGAUUCUAAUGGUUUAGCACCAUUCCCUCGGUGAUGUCCUCAUGAUGGUGAGCUAUCAUGAGAUCUGGUUGUUUGAAAGCGUGUUGCACCUCCCCUGACUCCCUCUCUUGGUCCCGCCCCUGCCAUGUAGGACACCUGCUCCACUUCACCUUUUGCCAUGAGUAAAAGCUCCCUGAGGCCUCCCAAGAAGUUGAUGCCCUGUGCUUCCUGUACAGCUGCGGAACCGGAUGGCUUUCCGUGGCUUUGCUACAGCCACUCCUGGAAGUGCUGCCUGACUGAAUCCUCAGGGCACCCCGGCAGGAUGGACGUGGUGUACCCCCUACUUUACAGAUGGGGAAACUGAGGCUUGAGAGCUAAAGCAGCCCACCCAGCUCCCAGAGAUGAGGAGGCCGACUCUGGCAGGAGUCACUGUCGGUGCAUGGGCAUUUCUUCCUGUUACAGCCUGCGGCCCCUUCCAGGCCGGGAGGCCUUCUGCGCAGGUGCCCUGACGUGAUGGUAUGACCCAUUCUGGGAGGCCGAGAGCACCUCAAAGAACUCAGCAGGAAGCACAGUUUCAAUUCAGAAGUUCUGGAAGGCGAGGCAGGACAGGGCACCCUCCCUGCAUGGCCCGAUGACCUGCACUCCUGUUUCAUCUCCCCGUGUGGCACCUGGGGCAGCUUGGAGCCUACCAAGGUCUCAACAAGGAACCAGUAAAUACCAAAAAAAGGACAUCACGUCCCCUACAGCUAACUGCAAAUGGUGACCAUCCCAGCCCUUGUUUGAUAACACAAGCAAAGCAAUGGCUUCUUCAAGGACACCGAGAGGAACCUCACCUCUUUCUAAAACCUCCAACACAGGGCCAGGCGCGGUGGCUCAUGCGUGUAAUCCCAGCACUUUGGGAGGCCGAGGCAGGUGGAUCACGAGGUCAGGAGAUCGAGACCAUCCUGGCUAACACGGUGAAACCCCGUCUCUACUAAAAAUAAAAAAAAUUAGCCGGGCGUGGUGGUGUGCGCCUGUAGUCCCAGCUGCUCGGGGAGGCUGAGGUAGGAGAAUAGCGUGAACCCAGAAGGUGGAGGUAGCAGUGAGCCGAGAUCACUCCACUGCACUCCAGCCUGGGCAACAGAGCAAGACUCCAUCUCAAAAAACAAACAAACCUCCAACACCACCUGGAAGGGCCUGGAGGCACUCACUGAUGAGCCUGGAAUUUCUCACAGGGGACAGAGAGGUGGCCAAGGCUCCUGCACAUUUCCCCAUCUGUCUGACACCCCUUUCCAGAACCAGAAAGCGUGCUGAGCUCGGCCUCUGUCACGCAGGGUUCCAGGUAUUUCUGGGGCUCAGCAGGGAGAAGGCCAGGACGUGCUCCCUGACUCUCGGCAGGGCGGGAGAAGAAUGAAUCCUCUGAGGUCCCCAGCUUGGGGAAAAGGGGGUGGGAGAGUGGCGGGCAGAGACCUCCUCCGUAUCCCCCUCUCCUGAAGCCCUGCCGCUGUGGCAGCCCUACAGGGACUACAGGGCUCCAGCCCUACAGGGACUCUGCGGUGGGGCGGGUGUGCAGGCUCACAGGCUCUGGAAAUGCCCCAGGAUGCCUUGGCAGUGUCUCCCACAGACCCAGGAGCGCCACUAGAAACAGGACCCUUCCUCAGUCAUCCUGCAUGGGGGCUCCUGUUGCUUUGGGGGCUGCUUUCCAGCAGCUGCGUCAGACAACGACCCACCUCAUCCCCCCAGCCAGGACCUGAACAGGCACUGACGUCAGAUACGUAGACCUUGUUGCUGAACUUGUCAAAAACUUCAAUGGUGAUUUCAUACAGGCGGCCGGUCUCCAGCACCCACCUAUCACCAGGGUGAAUGGUGAACCCUAAAACAGGCAGGGGGAGCCUGAGCACUCAGGCCUCAGGGGCAGCAGGGUGGAGGAGGAUGGGACCACCACCCUCAGCACAGGGGCCCUCAGCAUCCACAUGGGAAGCCCCACUCCACCCACCUGUAGGCCCCACACCACCCACCUGCAGGCCCCACACCACUUACCUGGAGGCCCCACACCACCCACCUAGGGGCCCCACAAUUAUGGCGCUGGCCUCCUCCACAGAGAGGGACCUGUUGCUGAGGAACAGAUGCCUGAUGCCGCCUUCAGCCCUGAGUCCUGAGCUGACCUCCCGAGGACCAAACCUGGACUCAUCCCAUUCUAUCUGAACAAGGCUCCUUCAAACUUGUUCCUGUUCCUCAGUGGGUCUACACUCAGAAUCCUAGCAGCUCUGUCCUUAACACACAGCAGGUCUAUGCUCUGAAGUGAUAAUAGAUCUAUAGUGUUCACAGUAGAACUAGUCUGAACCUUCAGGGGGUCUGUGCUCUGAGGAGGGAUGGACAUAGACUCCAAGAAAGUGAUGAUUCUGGAAAAGGAACGCGUUGUUAAAGUUUGUUGAUCAAACCCAGACACAAGGUCUGUCAGAAUCUACCACAGCAUUCCCUAUCAGCCCCUCCCACUGGGGCCAACACUGAAGAAAUAAGGGGUGUCCCGUUAGUCAGGGCUGGGGCUACCUAGAGACAUGUCCCUGCAGCUUCCUACAUCAGAUCUGCCCAUGUCCUUGUGAAAAAUGCAGAUGCUUGGCCCCUGGCCCAGGCUGUGUCUGCAAGAAGCCUGGGAAACUCCAUUUUAUCCACCU